Molecule: long non-coding RNA, 366 nt
Filed under: Erythranthe guttata (spotted monkey flower)
Lineage: Eukaryota; Viridiplantae; Streptophyta; Magnoliopsida; Lamiales; Phrymaceae
Description: long non-coding RNA (EGUT_LNC000518)
Source: RNAcentral
UCACGAAGUCUAGAUCCCCAUCCAUGAAAGAACACCGAAAAUCACAAAUAAGAGAAAUUAAUUUAGGGAAUUAGGGCUUCUUUAAAAAAAUAAAAGGUUAAAAAACAAAUCAAAAAAUUGAGAGCGCCCAUACCUGUUACAGCUUAAAAAUAAUGGAGUGGGGCAAGAAAACACCAACAAUUUGGACCAGAGAGACGGAUGUCUAUAUGACGAAUAUUUUGGGGCGAUGUUUUAGGGCGCCAAUUCAGAUCUAUCUGCUUGCGUGAGCGAUGCCAGGUGAUCGGAACAAAGAUUCAGCGUGGAGAGGAUUCAAAAUUGAUAAGCGAUGUUCUUAAAACUGUUGCGUGUUUAAGGGAAGAUGAAGAG